This 274-nucleotide ribosomal RNA is filed under the name uncultured bacterium. Its description in RNAcentral is "partial 16S ribosomal RNA". It matches the Rfam family "Bacterial small subunit ribosomal RNA", at positions 523 to 796 of the family's 1533-position model. The record is from RNAcentral.
AUACGGAGGGUGCAAGCGUUACUCGGAAUCACUGGGCGUAAAGGAUGCGUAGGCGGAUAAUCAAGUCAAAAGUGAAAUCCCACGGCUUAACCGUGGAACUGCUUUCGAAACUGGUUAUCUAGAAUAUGGAAGAGGCAGAUGGAAUUAGUGGUGUAGGGGUAAAAUCCGUAGAGAUCACUAGGAAUACCGAUUGCGAAGGCGAUCUGCUGGGACAUUAUUGACGCUGAGGCAUGAAAGCGUGGGGAGCAAACAGGAUUAGAUACCCCGGUAGUCC